This is a long non-coding RNA of Triticum aestivum (bread wheat), 2241 nucleotides long. RefSeq lists it as uncharacterized. The transcript has 4 exons. Lineage: Eukaryota; Viridiplantae; Streptophyta; Magnoliopsida; Poales; Poaceae. The record is from RefSeq and is a predicted model, not a curated record.
CCGCCGCCCGCGGGUCGCCCACUCCCCGCACCCCUGUUGCUCCCUCCUCGUACCCGAUCUGGAUCGAGGGGACGAGGAGCUCCUGCCUCCCCGACGGCCGGCCUCCUCCUCGCCCCGCUGCUGCGUCCGGCGCCGCCACGGCCUCUGCAGCCAGGGAUGCCAUGGCCUGAGCUCGGCCUCGAGGUUCCCGCCGCCGUCUCCUGCAGCUUCCGCCUCACCGCCCGAGCUCGCGGUCGCACCAACCUCGGCACCACGUCGCCGCCGGCUCUGGUCGCCUCCACCUUCGCUCCAGGCAACCCUCGGUCGCCGGCUCGCUGGAGCACGACGGCAGACGAUGGAUGCCCUGGUUGUGUGCGACGGAUGCAGUUCUCACGCGCAAGCUAGGGUUGGAGCCGCCGGCUCUUCAUCCUGCCCGCCGGCGGUGAGUCUUCCGGUCCUGCACUGCCGCCUCCCCGUUAUCACAGGUUCAUCGGGUCCUUUACUCCUCACAUAAUAACCGUGAAACUUAAUGAGGAAGGUUAUCCUUUCUUCAAGGACUGGAAGUUUCCUGGUAAGUGUUCCUUUUUCUGAAAAACUCUGUGUUUGUUCGCUGUAAUAUUUUGUUUGCAUCAGGUUUCUCUUUCCUUUUGUGGGCAUAAUGGGCGAGACAAUAAUAUUCAGAAAGUUGUUGUUUUAGGGAAACUGCUAACUCCAUAUGUCAGACCCAUAUCAUUGUUGAGCAUGCAUAGUGUUCCUAUGUCAUUUCUAUGAUGUAUUUGUUUCCUUUUAUAUCACAGUAGUCUUCAUUUUGGCCAUGUACCUUCAAACUGAACCAAAAAUGGUUUGUCUGGUGACAUGUUUGAGGAGAUUCUUGAUAUGAAACAGUAGAUAUGAGAGUGACCUUUUUUUGCAAGUUUUGUCUGUGGAAUCUUUUUGCAGUUGAUAAGACAUGGGCUGGUCUUACUUCUGAUCUGCAAUAUUUUCGGUAAAGUGAUUCAAGGUAUGUUUGAUUGUUUACUUAGGAUGGUUACUGAACCUCUUUGGGAACCAAGAAAUACAUUUUGUAUGUACAAAUAACAUAGGCCUAAAGUUCGUUUUUACAUUGAAAAUCUAUAUAUGAAAUUUUCUGUAACAAUCGAAAAUUCAUACACUCACUUUGUGAGAUGUCACACAACACCAUGCUCCAAAUUGUUGUCUAUCUGAUCCUUGCGGCAGAAUCAUAUACUCGUGCAUAAUUGCAUAUAUACUGUGACCGGGCACCAGUACAUUUGCAACAUUCUAAAGUUAGUUUUUUGUGAUUUUUUACCAAAACUUUUCUUCUACAAUUUAUAUGCAUGCAGAGGAUCUUCAACUGAUUUCAUCAUUUAUCUAGGCUAUGCGAGGUUGCAUAAUCAUGAAUGGUCAUUGUUCGGUAAUCCAAGCAAUACCCAGUUUAAUGCCUACCACUCACAAGACACACCGACAGAUCAAAUAAAUCUUCAAUGCACUGCCACUCACAAGAGCAAAUCAAUGUGUACAACCAAGAUGCCAAUGAAGGGAGAAUUGAGUUCAAAAUGAGAGACUACCACUCACUUAUAUUCUGCUGAAUUUGUUCCAUCUAUAGGAUUGUACAUGGAUAUUAUCUAUAAGGCUUAUGUCAUGUACAGGGAGAUUAUCUUAUGGGAUAGGCAUAUCAGCUACCGUUCAGACAUAGCAGUGAUGAUUUUUGCAGAACCACAUGCCGAUGGUGCACUUGCCUUUGGAAUUAAAGAUCAGCUUACUACACUAACCAGAGAUCAUAUAUAAAUACUCGACUCUACAGCAGUAUGAAGGGGUGAGCUAAUUAUGUUGUCACUGUGUUUCACACUUUUCUGUCAUAGUUUGCGUCUAAUUUCCCUACAGAUUUCAGGGCUAGUAAAUAUGUUAAAGAUAGAUACAGAGAAAGGAGAUUAGGGUAGUGGAUUCCGAUAAUGAUGCGAAAAAAUGCCUUUGGGUCGAACACAUACUCUUGAAAGAAAGGAAGAAGCUUCUUGGUAAUGGAGAUGGUUCUCUUAUAUUUGGUAGGGAGCAGAAAAAAUCCAGCAUGGAAAAACACCACAUUCAACAUGGUGUAAUUAUGAUGAUCUAAACGAGUAUUCCUGGUCUGUCUACAACCUUAUUUUAUGGUCACAUACUAACACACCUUUUCAAAUUUUCUCUAAUAGAUCCUACUCUGUUUUAGGACUAAUGAUUGUUUCUCACUGCCAUGACCAAUGCGGGAUGAUGGUGGCUUCUUCAAAUAUG